GUGGGUAUAGCUCAGUAAUAGAGCAUAUGCUUAGCAUGCAUGAGGUCCAGGGUUCAAUCCCCAGUACUUCCA
Molecule: transfer RNA, 72 nt
Organism: Camelus ferus (Wild Bactrian camel)
Lineage: Eukaryota; Metazoa; Chordata; Mammalia; Artiodactyla; Camelidae
Rfam family: tRNA
About the family: Transfer RNA (tRNA) molecules are approximately 80 nucleotides in length. Their secondary structure includes four short double-helical elements and three loops (D, anti-codon, and T loops).
Source: Rfam